Arvicanthis niloticus (Nile rat) is the source of this 3066-nucleotide non-coding RNA. The record is from RefSeq and is a predicted model, not a curated record. Lineage: Eukaryota; Metazoa; Chordata; Mammalia; Rodentia; Muridae.
AUGGACAGCAGGCACCUCCCUAACCUCCCCAGAUGUAUUACUCAUUUCUGAAGUAUUGAAGUUAGAGGUAACUCAAGCAGGAUUCUGGUUAUGAAUGUAGAUGUUGAAACUAAUCAAAAACACUGGAAGUCAGUCUUUACAUUUCUAGUCUUCAGUAGAAUGCACAUGUUUGAAGUUCAUGUGGACCAUUUCAAGAAGCACUCAUUGACAUUGGGUUGUCUAGAAUGAAUACAAGUAUUUUUAGUGGAAGUUGCUUUUAUUUUAGCGUCCACGGCUAUUCUAUGUUACUAGUUGCAGCUGUUAAAGAUAAGGUUGUUGGUGUCAGGUGUGCAAUGAAGAACAGGAAUCUUGGUUUCCUCUCCAGUGUCCAAACGCCUAUUGAGGGAACAUUUUCUUGCAAAAGACUUUACAUUUCGUUUUUUAUCCUCGCACUUUUUCUUUAUUACAGAAAGGUCCUGUGUUUAAGACCUACUUUGAACUUCAUGCAGUAAUAAUGUUGGGGGAUUGCAUUUUUUAAAGCAUAGGGGAAAGUACUAAAGCCUGAUUUUCCUUGAAUAUUUCAAAAUUUUUUAAUCCGCUUACUAGUGUAAAGGUUUGCAGUAUUGUUUUAUUCCACACAGCUUACAAUGUUGAGAUUUAUUAGUGCUGAAAACAAAGUUUAACAAGUUAAAAAUGGCAGGCUGUUUGCAGUAACCCUGCAGAAAAGAGCUAUGGUGGGAAUUUGGAACAUUUUCUCUGAAAAGAACAUGUUAGUUACACCACCAUGUCCUCCAUGUUAAUGGAAGUGGCUUUGGUGUUAUUGGAACAGUUAAUUGUCAGAUUGUUAACAAAAUGUUAGUGCCAGGAGAUGCUCAGUCUUUAGGGACACAGUUAGAAUCCAUCCAAGCUAGGAAACUGGUUUGCUCUGUUACCUUAAGCAAUAUUUUGGUUUUUUCUUUUUUCUUUCGUCCUGGGAAAACUUUCUGUGCCAAGUAGUCUCUGCUUUUGUCGAUGUCUUAUAGUUAUGAAGGGUUAGCAUUUAGCACACUUUGUAUUUAACCACCUGCUUCUAUGACUGAGUCUCCAAAUAUCCAUGUGAUAAGGAGGUCUAUGUUGCAAAAUGACUGUUAAAGGCCAUUCUGACAGUUUACUAGAAUACAGUGGCACCUUCUGGUUGACUUUUUUUUUUAACAGAUGGAGGAUAAUUCUUUUGUGAAAGGAAAUUAAUUUGUAAUCUGCCUUAGCUGAUUUGAAUUAAUGUUUUUUUCUGACUGGCUUCCGUGUCACAUGUCUUACCAAAAAUAUGCAGUACCUGGAAGCCAUGUUUGCAGGGCACUUGGGUUCUUGGCUAAUCUUCUAAGACUAUUCUGAUUUUUCAGUCUCGAAGUAUUCUUUCUGUACCUGUGUAAUGAGGUGGAGAAGACACGAGUGAAGGUGUCUCUUUUUCCUCUUUAGUACGGUUCAGUAUGUUUAAUGCUCAGUAACAGUGUUGUAAUUGAGUUAACUAGUAAAUGGUUCUUUUAAAAAAUUAUUUUUAAGUGUAUGUUGAUGGAUCAUACUUCACUUGGGAAGUUAAGUGUGCAAGGUCUGAGGAAAGAGUAUUUCUAAGUCCCAGUUUAAGCAAAUAAAAACAGCUGUGAGCUCAGUAUCCACCCUUUCAAUUUUUUAGCAUUCUGGAAUACCUUUAUUGAGGUAAGGUCUUGCCGUGUACCACAGCUGGCCUAGAGCUCUCUGUGGACUAGGCUGGCUUCAAACUUGUGGCAGUCCUUGUGCCUCUGCCUCUUGAAGGUUAGAAAUUCAGGUACUUAGCACUCGAUUCCUUUACCUUCACUGGAACAUUUCUAAAAUACUAUCGAACACUCCAGAAGUGAGUGGCCUCCUGUAAGUCACCAUAGUUUGCAUCUAAAAGCCUACAGUUUAGAAUAGAACUACCGGGGAUUUUUUUUUUUUUUUUUUUUUGGUAUCAGGUUUAUGGGUUUUUUUUUUUUUUUUUCAUGUCUAUGUAGAUGUCUGGAUUCAAAUCUUUAAAAGGUUAUCGACCACUCAAAAUUACAGUGAGAUACAUGGGACUUAUAGUUUUGGGUAUUUUGAAAGGGUCUUGUUUUGUUAGCCCAGGCUGGCCUGGAAUUAGUGAUUCUCCUGAUUGCUGGGAUUAUAGGUGUGUAUCACCCCCACCCAGCAAGGAUUUGUUUACUGAAGUCCCACAGCUGCUUUAUAGUCAUUGGGGAAGCAGCUAGAGAUGCGCAGUGAAAGUGAGCCCUGUCAUACCACUGUGCCUUGUUGCAAGGUUUUUCUCAGUUCUCAUUCUGAAGAUUGUUUCCAGCUGCAAGUUCGAGUCAAGCCAGCUGCCCAGCCUUAACUCUGUUCAGUGCCCUGUUACUAACAUUUUUAACAGAUUGGUUUCUACAUGUUUAAACAGUCCAGCAGUUGAAUUUUACCUCUUGAUAGUUCCAUUUGUCCCUGGUGCUGCUUUUAAAGGUAUAGGGCCCUGUGAAGUGUCCAGUGGAGUAGGUACGCAGUUGGCCUGGUUAUGGAAAAGCUGCUUUGGAAUAGAUGUUUACUUGGGUUUCUGUAUAGAACUGGGCAGCAAUCCGGGAAAGCUCUGUAAAGCCCGUAAGAAAGGAUUUGAAGAGGGCUGCUCUUAAGUCUUUGAACAUGAAGCACAUGUGUGCAUGCUGUCAAAAGGCUGGAGUUACUGUCACACCAGUGCUUUCUGACCUCCAGGAGACACUUUCAAAAGGCAACAGAGGAGCACCAAGGGAAGUGAAUUUGCUUGGCUGGCUUUGUCUGCUUUCUCAUUUCCUAACCAUUUAAACCUGAACGAAAUACCCUUCCCCGGUAUCUGAUCCAGCAAACUCUUGGUUGGGAAGCCCUGUGUUGAAUUUUGAGAAUGUACCCAACUUUUUGUACAGUGCUUUACACCUGCUAAAAUUUAACUUGUUUGAUGCAGAACAAUACCUUGAAAGGUCAGUCAUUAAAUUUGGUUUGAUUAUUAAUAGCUAUCUUUUAGGAAGAAGCUUUUUCCCUAUGUACGAUGUCAUACUGCAGACUUAAAAUAUAGACUAUCAAUAAAAUGCAUGAAGUAAU